RNAcentral lists this ribosomal RNA (465 nucleotides) under Vreelandella stevensii. Its description in RNAcentral is "partial 16S ribosomal RNA". It matches the Rfam family "Bacterial small subunit ribosomal RNA", at positions 338 to 795 of the family's 1533-position model. Lineage: Bacteria; Pseudomonadati; Pseudomonadota; Gammaproteobacteria; Oceanospirillales; Halomonadaceae. The record is from RNAcentral.
CAGACGGGGUGAAGAAGGGGGGAAGAGGGGACAAUGGGCGAAAGCCUGAUCCAGCCAUGCCGCGUGUGUGAAGAAGGCCUUCGGGUUGUAAAGCACUUUCAGUGGGGAAGAAAGCCUUGGGGCUAAUACCCUCGAGGAAGGACAUCACCCACAGAAGAAGCACCGGCUAACUCCGUGCCAGCAGCCGCGGUAAUACGGAGGGUGUGAGCGUUAAUCGGAAUUACUGGGCGUAAAGCGCGCGUAGGCGGUCUGAUAAGCCGGUUGUGAAAGCCCCGGGCUCAACCUGGGAACGGCAUCCGGAACUGUCAGGCUAGAGUGCAGGAGAGGAAGGUAGAAUUCCCGGUGUAGCGGUGAAAUGCGUAGAGAUCGGGAGGAAUACCAGUGGCGAAGGCGGCCUUCUGGACUGACACUGACGCUGAGGUUCGAAAGCGUGGGUAGCAAACAGGAUUAGAUACCCUGGUAGUC